This 107-nucleotide ribosomal RNA is filed under the name Piliocolobus tephrosceles (Ugandan red Colobus). The record is from RNAcentral. Lineage: Eukaryota; Metazoa; Chordata; Mammalia; Primates; Cercopithecidae.
UUACCCUGAACACACCUGGUCUCAGAAGCUAAGCAGGGUCAGGCCUGGUUAGUAUUUGCAUGGGAGACACUCGUUUUACUGCUGUUUUUCUCUCCGGAAGCCCUUGU